Molecule: ribosomal RNA, 497 nt
Filed under: uncultured bacterium
Lineage: Bacteria
Description: partial 16S ribosomal RNA
Rfam family: Bacterial small subunit ribosomal RNA
Source: RNAcentral
UCCUCCCUCUUUCUUCGUGCCUAAUACAUGCAAGUUGAGCGCUGAAGGUUGGUACUUGUACCAACUGGAUGAGCAGCGCACGGGUGAGUAACGCGUGGGGAAUCUGCCUUUGAGCGGGGGACAACAUUUGGAAACGAAUGCUAAUACCGCAUAAAAACUUUAAACACAAGUUUUAAGUUUGAAAGAUGCAAUUGCAUCACUCAAAGAUGAUCCCGCGUUGUAUUAGCUAGUUGGUGAGGUAAAGGCUCACCAAGGCGAUGAUACAUAGCCGACCUGAGAGGGUGAUCGGCCACAUUGGGACUGAGACACGGCCCAAACUCCUACGGGAGGCAGCAGUAGGGAAUCUUCGGCAAUGGACGAAAGUCUGACCGAGCAACGCCGCGUGAGUGAAGAAGGGUUUCGGAUCGUAAAACUCUGUUGGUAGAGAAGAACGUUGGUGAGAGUGGAAAGCUCAUCAAGUGACGGUAACUACCCAGAAAGGGACGGCUAACUACGUG